Molecule: non-coding RNA, 131 nt
Organism: Oscillibacter valericigenes Sjm18-20
Lineage: Bacteria; Bacillati; Bacillota; Clostridia; Eubacteriales; Oscillospiraceae
Source: Rfam
UAUAAUAAAUCGUGCGUUCCAAAGACAGCAGGUGGGGGGAUGACCCCGGAAAUCCUGCCGAGGGCGGCUUUUUUACAAAGCUCUUCCGUCCCUGUGUCUUUACGGUACAGGGACGGUUUUCUUUUUAGAAC